CAUUUUUUUGCUAUCAACCUGAAGGUCGCGUCGCCAGUUCUUCUGAUUUGCAGUAUAAAAAGUGCAGCAAUCUGCAUGGAACUUGGAAGGAGGAGCACAAGUUGCAGAAGGGAAAAGUUUGGAGGAGGAAUUGCAAUAUGAAGGGACAAGAGAAACUCCAAUUUGGGGCUUACAGAUCUGGUAGCAGAGACUACAGGUUCAGUUUUGAAGGUUCCCCUAGACUGUUGAUCCUGCGAGGUGGGCGUGUGGAGAGAAACUUUUCUUUCACCAGACAAUUUUAAUGUGUGGCAAGUGAUUCUUAAC
Molecule: long non-coding RNA, 303 nt
Organism: Mauremys reevesii (Reeves's turtle)
Lineage: Eukaryota; Metazoa; Chordata; Testudines; Geoemydidae
Exons: 3
Source: RefSeq, a predicted model, not a curated record